GAUGAACGCUGGCGGCGUGCCUAAUACAUGCAAGUCGAGCGAACAGACGAGGAGCUUGCUCCUCUGACGUUAGCGGCGGACGGGUGAGUAACACGUGGAUAACCUACCUAUAAGACUGGGAUAACAUCGGGAAACCGGAGCUAAUACCGGAUAAUAUAUUGAACUGCAUGGUUCAAUAGUGAAAGACGGUUUUGCUGUCACUUAUAGAUGGAUCCGCGCCGCAUUAGCUAGUUGGUAAGGUAACGGCUUACCAAGGCAACGAUGCGUAGCCGACCUGAGAGGGUGAUCGGCCACACUGGAACUGAGACACGGUCCAGACUCCUACGGGAGGCAGCAGUAGGGAAUCUUCCGCAAUGGGCGAAAGCCUGACGGAGCAACGCCGCGUGAGUGAUGAAGGUCUUCGGAUCGUAAAACUCUGUUAUUAGGGAAGAACAAAUGUGUAAGUAACUAUGCACGUCUUGACGGUACCUAAUCAGAAAGCCACGGCUAACUACAUG
This 497-nucleotide ribosomal RNA is filed under the name uncultured bacterium. RNAcentral's name for it is "partial 16S ribosomal RNA". It matches the Rfam family "Bacterial small subunit ribosomal RNA", at positions 28 to 507 of the family's 1533-position model. The record is from RNAcentral.